CCGACUUGUGAUGUUGUGCCUCCGACAGUGUCGGGGGUAUAACUAGCCUAAUUUAUGCAUUCUCUCGGUUAAAAGAAGUUAUUUGCACUGAUCCAUUCUAUUGUUUUCACAUUUUUGUUGAUUUUAAUGAAUGUUUGAUGCAUUUCCUUUACAAAUGAAGAUAUACACAAAAAGGGGGGGGGGCACAUUUGUUACAAGAUGGUGAAAUUAUACCCCCUUAUCAUGUUCAUAUAGUCUUCAAGCCAGGAAAGUGAUAUAUUUAUACCAGAAUUGGUGCAGUUAUGCAGACCAUCUUGCUGAUUGUGUGGUCAAGCCCUUUCAGUCAUUCAUUUUGUGAUAGCUAUGCAGCAAUUAACUUAAAGCUUCUCUCAAAAUUCUAAAAGUAAUCGUUUAAUAGGCGUAGCUCAAUAUUAUCCUCGUCUCUUGGUUGUUCUUGCCAUUAAGAAUUGUGAUGUCACGCUUUCAAUACUUGUUAUUUUUACUUUGGCACUUUCCUAUGACCGAUUGGAAUAGACUUAAUGAUUAGUUUAGUUAGCAUAUGUUUAAAAGCUGUACA
This 556-nucleotide long non-coding RNA is filed under the name Mytilus galloprovincialis (Mediterranean mussel). Lineage: Eukaryota; Metazoa; Mollusca; Bivalvia; Mytilida; Mytilidae. The record is from RNAcentral.